RNAcentral lists this unclassified non-coding RNA (395 nucleotides) under Hevea brasiliensis (rubber tree). Lineage: Eukaryota; Viridiplantae; Streptophyta; Magnoliopsida; Malpighiales; Euphorbiaceae. The record is from RNAcentral.
AGAGAGAGAGAGAGAGAGAAUGUCCAAUCCAAUAAUUUUUUUUUUAAGUGAGAAAUUAUAAUAAGAAGACCACGGAAUUACAACACAGAAUAUAAAAUAUCCUCUAAAGCUACAAAACAAAUGUAUACAAACACUAAAGAAAAGAAACUAAUAAUGCAACUCCUUCCAAUCAUACUGAAUAAGAUUCAACAACAUUCCUUCAAAAGCCCCCAAAGCACUACACAUAAAGAGGCCAAGAAAAGUUUCUUAUCCCACGCCUUUUCGAUGAAAUUAGACAAUUUUAUGAUGUUACCCAUCAUAACGUUAAAAGUAAAAUUUGACUGUCAAUUGCGAGUCAUAUGUAUCAAGCAGGCAGGGAAAUAAAUCCUGCAGAGUACAAAUUUAAGAAUUCAUUU